This is a long non-coding RNA of Corticium candelabrum, 763 nucleotides long. RefSeq lists it as uncharacterized. The record is from RefSeq and is a predicted model, not a curated record. Lineage: Eukaryota; Metazoa; Porifera; Homoscleromorpha; Homosclerophorida; Plakinidae. The transcript is spliced from 4 exons.
GCCACAACCCAAGGUGCCGGUGCCUCCUUGUCACGCAGCUUGAUUGCAGAUGUGAACGUACGCGCCGACAAGGACAGUCCAAAGAUCACCGAGUGACACGGUAGAACUCGAUCUACAAUCAUUGUACAACAAACGAGUCUGUAUCGUCACCACAGUUGCCAACUUGGCGAUCAGCUAUUGUGGAGCCUAUCUAAAUACAUCUAAAUUCGUAGCAUUUCUCCUCUAACCGGUUCAUCUACCGUAAAGGUAGCGUGUUGUGUACUAUGCACGUACCUGCACAGCUAGGGACCGCGGUAUUCACUGGCACAACGUUGUGUGUCAGAGCGGAGUUGUCCGCGGCCAAGGGCAGCCAAAGUGGUUUGGCACGUGACGGAAUGUUCAGCUGAUUGGCGUUGCUCGGACAUAAGACAUCAGGCAGUAUGGUUUGAAAAAUUUGCUUGAGUCUUUUAUUAGAGAUAUGAAUAGACUUGCUGCUGGUCAUGACUUUGACAUCCAUGGUGCAAAAGUGAACUACAAAGGACGUCUGGUGGCUUUGGUAGCUGAUACUCUUGCAAGGAGGGAGUUGGCUUUGCACUAAGAAAAUGUAGAAAAUACUUGGCGACUCAAGAGCAGAUACAAAACAUGGACAGACAAUCAAUUACACGGAUUGUCUUCACUCUGAAGAGCUGAUCCUCCACCUUGGAAGAAAAGCACCUAGCCCUUUAUGGGUUUUCAAAUAAUUGAUUGUUGUCUUCCUCGCAUUGAGAUUUUCUUGAUUUGUGUU